ACGCUUAUUGGAGCCUAGGGUUUUGACGACACCGUUCAGCGUCCAGAACACACGUGUAUUUCACGUGCUGUUGCGUGAAAUUUUAAUACGGAUCAAUAUCCGCAAGUUUAGGCCAAUUCUCAAAAAUUUGGAAGAAUUUCGGAGAAACCGCUCGCCAUUGUCUCUCAUCCCAUGUUUCCUCUCAAACCCUAAAAAUUUCCAUCUGUAAAUCCCAUGAAAGAAGAUUCUCUGUUCUCUCUUUUCCAUUGGUCUUCAGACAGACUAUGCCUGAUGUUAGUAGUUGUUUUGCUGAAGAUGAAAUGUGGUAAAUCUCAGAAGGUAAAGUUCAUGCAUGAGCUGAGGUUGUAGAUUGUGCACAAUAAGUCUUUGGAAUGGAACACAUAAGGAGCACAUAAGGCUGAAGAGUUGGCUUCUCCCAUGCACCAUCAUCAGAACACAAUUCACACCAGAAGGGUAAAUCCGGGUGUUCUUUGUUAAAGCCUGUCGGAAAAUUAUUUCGGUAAGUUUGAGGGCUUAUAUGAUAAGUCCCCCAAUGAAUUACAUGAUUUACCAUGAGUUGUUGCCAUGAAUUAUUUCAAACUGAUGUCUUCUUCCUGUAAUUAUUUUUGUUUUAUUUCACUUAUCUCAAUAAUGGCUCAAUGUUGACAUACAAUAACAUUGUUCAGUAAUCUCUUGAUUCUCCUCAAUGGCUCAAUGUAGUCCUUUUCAUUUUACCAAGAUUUCUAUUGCGCCUCUCUUUACUGAUUGGAUAGUUUAGUCAAGUCACCUGGGUGUACGAAAGUUAUGUGAUGUACGAAAGUCAAUUCUCUCUUCGCCAUUUUCUUCAGGUUUGUUGCACAUUCUUCGAAUGUUUCUUUGGUGCUUUUUUUUAAAUUAUUGUUGCUAUUAUUAUUAUUAUUAUUAUUAUUAUUAUUAUUAUUAUUAUUAUUAUUAUUAUUUUCUCAAAUAUAAUCUAAUAUUUUCAAUCCUACGUUGAAUUCUUUAUCUUCUUCCUCUAGUCACCCUUCACGUGUUACAGUGGCGGAAAACCUCGGGGUUUCUAUCUUAUUCAUUUUCGGUUGUGAUUUCACUCAAUUUCUCAUUCUUGUACUCGGAUUUCUGAGGUAACCCCUAAACUAUUGCAUGUCCUAUUCUGUUCAUCCCUUCAAUUCUCAUUGAUAUUUACUUUUGUAUAAAUGUGUGAUUUGCAAAAUUAAUAAUUUAUAGAUGGGUGAAUUUAUGUUAAUUUUGUCAUAUUUUGAGCCUUUACUUAGUCUUGACUUGGUAUAAUUAUUUUAUGAAUGUUAAGCUUCUGGAUUUAUUAAUUGAUUUAUUUGUUAUGGAAUUUGUUUAUUUAUGCUUUUUUACAGUUAAAGCUACUGAAUUUAUGAUUGAUUGAAUACACUCCUUGGCCAUAUUACCUAGUGCAAGGCUAGUAUGUGGUCUUCGUAUCUUAAAUAUAAUUGGUUGAUAAAAGCAACAUUUCAGCAUUACAAAAGCACGAAACUAAGGCUAAUGAAGGAACUGAACCUACUUCUUAGUUUUUCACUUACCCUAAGACCAAUACUGACAACAAUAUUGGCUUCCAAGUACCUACACACUAUUAGACGUGACUGAACCUGUUGCCUUUGCAAUUUUUCCGACCACUUGGAUAGCAUCUUUUGGGGCUUAAGAGAUCAUCUUUUAAAUAAUAAGCAGCAUCAGGAAAACAAGAGUUUGGCCAAAACUUGUAUUGCUUACAUGUAAGCAAAUAUAAAUUCACAAAAGUAAGAAUUAAUUUCACAAGUGAACCAUACAAUAAUUCCCUUAUUUUUAUAAUCUUAUCUACUUUGUUUACCAAGUGAAUAGAUACUGACUAAUUACUGAAAGCAUCGUUGGAGCUAAAGUUGUGCUGACUCUUGUUUUCAUCGGAAACAAGAUCUAGUGUGUCCUACUUAGAAAGUCUAUUCCUGACCUUAUAUGUUGAUGAUGGUAUUUUUCUUGGUUACAUUUUGGUUCCAGGCAGAGUAGGCCUGAUGUUUAUAAGUUGCUUUGCUGAAACUAAUGUAGAUCUCUGAAGUUUAUGUUGUCAACUACGAAGUAAUAUAACUUAAAAGUGUAGGUUUUAAUGUUUUGGGAUCUGAAUGAGCCUCAUCUCUUAUUUAUUAAUGGUGUUAAAUUCUUAAUCAUCCCUAGUUUGUACUUGAAGUAUAUAUGAUAGUUUGUUGCUAAGAAAUCGCAUCGUUCAGCAUCAUGUUUGUUUUUUUGUUGAAGCCAAUGUUAUAAUCUCAUUAGUUUAUUUUGGCAAAUAUAAGCACUUAGAAGUGUAUUCUUUCACGUUAUAUUCAACUCUAGUUUGUAAUUGAAUUAGUAUGCUAAUGUUAUGUUAUUUCUGUUACUAAGGUGCUCUGAUCAUCAGGCCCUACUCUAUUCUGGCCAGCUAUGUUUACUGUGAAGCUUCACUUUAUACAGUGUGUGUAUCUUUUUCAGGUGCUUGGUUGAGCCAGUUUAACGACCAAGCUAUCCUUGAACAACAUCUCCUAGUUCUGUAGAUCGUUCAACGUGAUGAGGAGCGACAUGAGAAUGAAGGCCAUGACACUUGAGCUUAUAAGCUACUACCACCUUAGAUCCUAGUUUUUCUAGGAUUUAGUUCUUCGGUUUGGUAGAUACAAUUUGUGCUUUUUGUUAUGUUUUGGACUAUUUAGUUAGUAACAUGUUAGUAACUUUAUCAUGUACUAUGGAUUUUAACGUAUUACGUACUUCUAGAUUUUGUAAGUAUUUUUAAUGUUACGUUGAUUGAAGACCAAUUAUUCAAAAUUCAGGUUUCA
This is a long non-coding RNA of Spinacia oleracea (spinach), 2786 nucleotides long. RefSeq lists it as uncharacterized. NCBI's taxonomy places the organism in Eukaryota, Viridiplantae, Streptophyta, Magnoliopsida, Caryophyllales, Amaranthaceae. The transcript has 5 exons. The record is from RefSeq and is a predicted model, not a curated record.